CUUUUAUUCACUAAAGACAGCCUUGUUCAUUGAAAUGUUCUCUCAGUAAUAUAAAGCUAAAUCUCCGAGUACCCAGAUGGACGUUUACCUUGGAUAAUAAGUUUUCUUUACUUUAAAACGCAAUUUGGGCACCUAUUUCCUAUGCAACCACGACGAUCUAUUUACACUUGGCGAUUCAUCUUGCACUGUCUUUUGAGCACAGGGUCCCAGAUAAGUAUUUGCUUUCUAUUUUUAUCGGGCAAUAGUUAAGGAAAUAAAAAAGGAUUAUGAAUCUUUGUUAUUUUAUAUGUUAAAUUAUUUUCUGAUUGAUUAAGUUGAGGCCUGUUACGAGAGAACCACUAACCGAAAACGUAAGCAGAAGCGCGCAAUGCACUUUUUGUUCCAUUGUGCGAUUCAACUGCACCGUAGCUUUGACGAUAUUUUCAACUGCAGUUGUUCAAAAUAUAUCAACUAGAUCUGUUGCAAGAUCUGAUGAAUAUAUAUACUGAGGUAAUUACAAACCCGAUUAGGUAUCGAAAACGAACGAUACGAUUUCAGGGGCCGCACUAUCGUUUGUCCUGCUCGGGAGGGAUGUUUCACGGUGUGGAACUUUAUUUGAGACACAUCAAGUCGAAUCCAGUUGGCUACUGAUGCAGUAAAACCGCGACGGCAAUAAAUGUAAUAUCUGAAUGCAGUGUUUGCUUUUUCCUCUUUGAUUAAUAGGCGAAUUAUAAAUGCUUGAUUGCGAUCCGGAAUCGCACAUCUAAUGAAGGCAACGAAACGAUGUCAAAACACUGACUGCAUUAAUCUGAGUCUGAAGAAUUUGGCAAAGAUCCGCCCAUUGUCGCUGUGAUACUUAACGCACGUGGGCUGUAGUUAUCUGUUGCUGGCUGUUUUUUUAGGGAUUUAAAAAGGGUGUUUCCAAACCUCUUGGAGUUCUGGGCCUUGUAAUAAUUUCGAGAGAAGAUCACGGUCUGGAAAUUAUUUUAUCGGUUCUGUGAAGAAGAGCAAUAUUCUGGGAUCGCAGUAAAUUGAUUCCCGUUAUACACCGCAUUAAAUAUGUGGGAUUUGUCGUAGAAGUUGUUUAUGUUGGCAUAUAUACCUUAAAACUGAAAAUGAGCGCUACAAAUUAAAAAGUACUCAACAUUUGUUGAGAAUCGAAUUAUGUUUGUCACAGAUUUUAAUUGAAAAUGGUUCCAUUAAAAAAAGAAAUGUUGUUAUUGUUGAAUGGAAAUUGUAUUGGUGGUUUACAUAUGAGCGUUGUUGAUCCAUUAUAGAGCAAAAAUCCUUCAGAAAUAUUCUGAGCAAUAUUCUUUAGAUAUAACCUUCCAUAUAAAACACUGGGUAUUCAAUAAACAAUAUCCAAACCUCAACAGAACGAUGUCCACAUUCACCCUUAGCCGUUUUAGGAAGUUUUGCUUGGAUAAUCUGAAAAUAAAUUAAAUAGUCCCACUUUGAAGUCGUGGAUUAAAUCGUGAUUGGGAAAGAUGCAUUUACUAAUUAUUUUCACAAUGACAAUUUAUCUUUGUUUUGCUUCGAGAUUUAGUUGUGCCGGAUUAUGACCCAUCCGGCGGAAAGCGUGGUGCAAACAUGAAAAUCAUCAAGAAGUCUUUCACUGAAAUCGUAUACUCGUAUACGUAUAACGAAUGGCGUAUACUUGAUGCAAACACGAUUUAGUUUAACGAGAAAAAUUCAACAAAUAUUUAACAUCUUCACUUUUAUAAAAUUGAAAUAAAAGAUCUGAAUGAAUAACCGCUCCAUAAGAAUACCAGUCUCAACCACAGAUUGUAGCCAACAGGAUGAUAUAUUAUACAGACGUACUGAAACAUACAUGGAAACUGACUGAAGAACAAUAAUGAAAGCAAAUCAAUGCUUGAAAACUGAGUUGAAAAUGCAUACUACUUUCUCCAAGGAGCAAAGGAUUGUGCACUCCGCUGUCGCCAAUCAGAUAUAAAAUUUAAAUGCUUCUUCUAAGUAUUUUGUAAUGAAAGUACACUCACAAUAUCAUUAAAGGUUUAUUUGGUUCCAAUA
This is a long non-coding RNA of Amblyraja radiata (thorny skate), 2010 nucleotides long. RefSeq lists it as uncharacterized. Lineage: Eukaryota; Metazoa; Chordata; Chondrichthyes; Rajiformes; Rajidae. The record is from RefSeq and is a predicted model, not a curated record. The transcript is spliced from 3 exons.